CCUACGGGAGGCAGCAGUGGGGAAUCUUGCGCAAUGGGCGAAAGCCUGACGCAGCAACGCCGCGUGCGGGAAGAAGGCCUUCGGGUUGUAAACCGCUUUCAGCAGGAACGAAAAUGACGGUACCUGCAGAAGAAGGUGCGGCCAACUAUGUGCCAGCAGCCGCGGUGAUACAUAGGCACCAAGCGUUGUCCGGAUUUAUUGGGCGUAAAGAGCUCGUAGGCGGUUCAGUCAGUCGGGUGUGAAAACUCUGGGCUUAACCCAGAGCCUGCACCCGAUACUGCUGUGACUAGAGUUCGGUAGGGGAGCGGGGAAUUCCUGGUGUAGCGGUGAAAUGCGCAGAUAUCAGGAGGAACACCGAUGGCGAAGGCACCGCUCUGGGCCGAAACUGACGCUGAGGAGCGAAAGCAUGGGUAGCAAACAGGAUUAGAUACCCUGGUAGUCCAUGCCGUAAACGUUGGGCACUAGGUGUGGGUUCCAAUCAACGGAAUCCGCGCCGUCGCUAACGCAUUAAGUGCCCCGCCUGGGGGAGGUACGGUCGCGAGACUAAACUACAAGAAGUAGACGCGNGAGACGUGCCGACGACGACGACGAGGGAGUAGG
This 600-nucleotide ribosomal RNA is filed under the name uncultured bacterium. RNAcentral describes it as "bacterial SSU rRNA". It matches the Rfam family "Bacterial small subunit ribosomal RNA", at positions 338 to 950 of the family's 1533-position model. The record is from RNAcentral.